RNAcentral lists this ribosomal RNA (447 nucleotides) under uncultured bacterium. RNAcentral's name for it is "partial 16S ribosomal RNA". It matches the Rfam family "Bacterial small subunit ribosomal RNA", at positions 29 to 523 of the family's 1533-position model. The record is from RNAcentral.
AACGAACGCUGGCGGCAGGCCUAACACAUGCAAGUCGAACGCCCCGCAAGGGGAGUGGCAGACGGGUGAGUAACACGUGGGAACAUGCCCUUUGGUUCGGAAUAACUCAGGGAAACUUGAGCUAAUACCGGAUAAGUCCGCGAGGAGAAAGAUUUAUCGCCGAAGGAUUGGCCCGCGUCUGAUUAGCUUGUUGGUGAGGUAAUGGCUCACCAAGGCGACGAUCAGUAGCUGGUCUGAGAGGAUGAUCAGCCACAUUGGGACUGAGACACGGCCCAAACUCCUACGGGAGGCAGCAGUGGGGAAUAUUGGACAAUGGGCGCAAGCCUGAUCCAGCCAUGCCGCGUGAGUGAUGACGGCCUUAGGGUUGUAAAGCUCUUUUGCCCGGGAAGAUAAUGACGGUACCGGGAGAAUAAGCCCCGGCUAACUUCGUGCCAGCCGCCGCAGUAA